AACGGCCGCUCGUGCGGCCGUGGGGUGGCCGCGGAAUGACCGCGGGGCUGCCGCGUAACGCCCGCGGCGCCCCGCCCUCGCUGCGCCCGAAGAAGCCGGAGGGGAUCGCGUCUGCGAUCCCCUGCUCUGGCCCCUUCCAAAAAAAAGGAAAACGAGGCUGAAGUCGGCUGGGGCUGCCGACUUCAGCCCGUAUCUCACAUUCUCUCCCCCUUAAAAAAAUUUCGUCCUCGAAAUUUAAGAGAUCUAGGCCUUUCAGAUGCUUAGCCCAUUGAGUAAUAUAAAUCCAAGAUCUCAUUCUCCUCGAUCAAAAUCAGUGUGAUAGAUAGCUUUGGAUUAACUAUCAAAAAUUCCAUAAAACUCGCAAGAUUAACACUAGAUAAGAGACUGACUAAAAUCUCAUAUUGAAAUUAUCAUCUUGAUGCAUGUUCACUCGAGAUUGGAUCAGGAUCGAUUCACAACAGGAUUGAUUAAAAUUAGUUGUGUUUGGGAUAGAACUUGAAAUGAAAUAGAUCUCAUACACUUACCAUGGUAGUGUGCUGAACCCUCAAAGGAUAAUGACCAACCUUGGAGUCAAAUCAUUAAAUGGCUAGAAAUGUAAUUCACAAAAUGAACAUGUACUGACGAUCAUUAGAUAGCAACGGUCUAUCUCAAAAAUGAUUUGCAUCAAAUCACAAGAGCAGGUCUAGGAAGGCAAAGUAUUGAUACCAUGAUUCAAUAUGCCACAAAGCUUUUAACUUAAACUUAUAAAUUAUAAGAUGGGAGCAAAUAAUGCAUGGUUUAUUCAGAUACUUAACAAAUUAGACCAUAUUUAGUCAACAAUCAACUAACCCGAGUCAUGAUACGCUCAAAUUAUUAUUAUUAUUAUUAUUUUCUUAGCAAACCUAAAAAUAGCAAAUUCUACCCAACAGAUAACAUAAUCAUAUCAUGAUUGACCUGAGAAUCAAUAGUAUAUACCUUUCCUUAUUAACAAAAUCUUUCAUUAUUGAACAACAUAGUCUUUCAUAAUAACAUGUUACCAAAACACAGUCAAUAUUUUUGACCAGUUUAAAUUGACUCAGUCCAUCAUACUUUCGCUGCGCAACUCUGAUCAAUAUUCUCCAAAAUUUCUUAAUGAUCCCAGAUCAUCAACAUUUUUUUAUAAUAUCCAAGCAAAAUUUUAUCCUUGCUUUUCAGGUAUACUAAGUCAUGAUUAACCCUUGAGAUAGUUGUCGUAUUUGUACCAUCAUAUAAUCAAGUAAUCAUAUUCUAGAUCCAAAUUUGAACUAAGCCAAUUCUAGUUUUCCUUGACAAUUCCAUUAUACAAGUU
Molecule: long non-coding RNA, 1306 nt
Filed under: Phoenix dactylifera (date palm)
Lineage: Eukaryota; Viridiplantae; Streptophyta; Magnoliopsida; Arecales; Arecaceae
Description: long non-coding RNA (PDAC_LNC012740)
Source: RNAcentral